Molecule: ribosomal RNA, 440 nt
Filed under: uncultured bacterium
Lineage: Bacteria
Description: partial 16S ribosomal RNA
Rfam family: Bacterial small subunit ribosomal RNA
Source: RNAcentral
CCUACGGGGUGCAGCAGUAGGGAAUAUUGCUCAAUGGGGGAAACCCUGAAGCAGCAACGCCGCGUGGAGGAUGAAGGUUCUCGGAUUGUAAACUCCUUUUGUUAGAGAAGAUAAUGACGGUAUCUAACGAAUAAGCACCGGCUAACUCCGUGCCAGCAGCCGCGGUAACACGGAGGGUGCAAGCGUUACUCGGAAUCACUGGGCGUAAAGAGCGCGUAGGCGGGAUAGCAAGUCAGAUGUGAAAUCCUAGGGCUUAACCAUAGAACUGCAUUUGAAACUGUUAGUCUAGAGUAUGGGAGAGGUAGGUGGAAUUCUUGGUGUAGGGGUAAAAUCCGUAGAGAUCAAGAGGAAUACUCAGUGCGAAGGCGACCUGCUAGAACCUAACUGACGCUGAUGCGCGAAAGCGUGGGGAGCAAACAGGAUUAGAUACCCCUGUAGUC